Molecule: small nucleolar RNA, 81 nt
Organism: Suricata suricatta (meerkat)
Lineage: Eukaryota; Metazoa; Chordata; Mammalia; Carnivora; Herpestidae
Gene: SNORD115
Rfam family: Small nucleolar RNA SNORD115
About the family: HBII-52 is a member of the C/D class of snoRNAs, which contain the C (UGAUGA) and D (CUGA) box motifs. HBII-52 is encoded in a tandemly repeated array with another C/D snoRNA, HBII-85, in the Prader-Willi syndrome (PWS) region of chromosome 15. HBII-52 is exclusively expressed in the brain but is absent in PWS patients.
Source: Ensembl
GGGUUAAUGAUGAGAACACAAAUGGUCUCGAAGAAAGAUGAUGACCUAAAAAUCAUGCUGAAUAGGAUUACACUGAGGUCC